UACGGAGGGGGCUAGCGUUGUUCGGAAUUACUGGGCGUAAAGCGCACGUAGGCGGCUUUGUAAGUUAGAGGUGAAAGCCCGGGGCUCAACUCCGGAAUUGCCUUUAAGACUGCAUCGCUAGAAUUGUGGAGAGGUAAGUGGAAUUCCGAGUGUAGAGGUGAAAUUCGUAGAAAUUCGGAAGAACACCAGUGGCGAAGGCGACUUACUGGACACAUAUUGACGCUGAGGUGCGAAAGCGUGGGGAGCAAACAGG
Molecule: ribosomal RNA, 253 nt
Filed under: uncultured bacterium
Lineage: Bacteria
Description: partial 16S ribosomal RNA
Rfam family: Bacterial small subunit ribosomal RNA
Source: RNAcentral